AGUGAACGCUGGCGGUAGGCCUAACACAUGCAAGUCGAACGGCAGCACAGUAAGAGCUUGCUCUUACGGGUGGCGAGUGGCGGACGGGUGAGGAAUACGUCGGAAUCUACUUUUUCGUGGGGGAUAACGUAGGGAAACUUACGCUAAUACCGCAUACGACCUACGGGUGAAAGCAGGGGAUCUUCGGACCUUGCGCGAUUGAAUGAGCCGAUGUCGGAUUAGCUAGUUGGCGGGGUAAAGGCCCACCAAGGCGACGAUCCGUAGCUGGUCUGAGAGGAUGAUCAGCCACACUGGAACUGAGACACGGUCCAGACGCCUACGGGAGGCAGCAGUGGGGAAUAUUGGACAAUGGGCGCAAGCCUGAUCCAGCCAUACCGCGUGGGUGAAGAAGGCCUUCGGGUUGUAAAGCCCUUUUGUUGGGAAAGAAAAGCAGCAGGUUAAUACCCCGCUGUUCUGACGGUACCCAAAGAAUAAGCACCGGCUAACUUCGU
This 491-nucleotide ribosomal RNA is filed under the name uncultured bacterium. RNAcentral describes it as "partial 16S ribosomal RNA". It matches the Rfam family "Bacterial small subunit ribosomal RNA", at positions 29 to 506 of the family's 1533-position model. The record is from RNAcentral.